UGGGCAAUAGACUGCAGUUCGAACGACUUUAUACCUCUGCCGGAAGGUAAGCGGUUAGUGGCGGACUGGUGAGUAACACGUAAGGAACCUGCCUAUUAGAGAGGAAUACCAGUGAGAAAUCACCGCUAAUACCUCAUAUGCCUUAGUUAUCGCAUGAUAAUAGAGGGAAAGGAGCAAUCCACUAAUAGAUGGCCUCGCGCCUGAUUAACUAGUUGGUGAGAUAAAAGCCCACCAAGGUAACGAUCAGUAGCCGAACUGAGAGGUUGAACGGCCACAUUGGGACUGAGAUACGGCCCAGACUCCUACGGGAGGCAGCAGUCGGGAAUAUUGCGCAAUGGAGGAAACUCUGACGCAGUGACGCCGCGUAUAGGAAGAAGGUUUUCGGAUUGUAAACUAUUGUCGAUAGGGAAGAAAAAGGACUGUACCUAUCAAGAAAGCUCCGGCUAACUACGUGCCAGCAGCCGCGGUAAUACGUAGGGAGCAAGCGUUAUCCGGAAUUAUUGGGUGUAAAGGGUGCGUAGACGGGAUGUCAAGUUAGUUGUGAAAUACCUCGGCUCAACUGAGGAACUGCAACUAAAACUAACAUUCUUGAGUGCAGGAGAGGAAAGUGGAAUUCCUAGUGUAGCGGUGAAAUGCGUAGAUAUUAGGAAGAACAUCGGUGGCGAAGGCGACUUUCUGGACUGUAACUGACGUUGAGGCACGAAAGUGUGGGGAGCAAACAGGAUUAGAUACCCUGGUAGUCCACACUGUAAACGAUGGAUACUAGGUGUAGGGGGUAUUAAGCCUUCUGUGCCGUCGCU
Molecule: ribosomal RNA, 800 nt
Filed under: uncultured bacterium
Lineage: Bacteria
Description: bacterial SSU rRNA
Rfam family: Bacterial small subunit ribosomal RNA
Source: RNAcentral